CACGUAGGGCGCAAGCGUUGUCCGGAAUUAUUGGGCGUAAAGAGCUCGUAGGCGGCCUGUUGCGUCCGCUGUGAAAUCCCGGGGCUCAACCCCGGGCCUGCAGUGGAUACGGGCUGGCUAGAGGCAGGCAGGGGAGAACGGAAUUCCUGGUGUAGCGGUGAAAUGCGCAGAUAUCAGGAGGAACACCGAUGGCGAAGGCAGAUCUCUGGGCCGUUACUGACGCUGAGGAGCGAAAGCGUGGGGAGCGAACAGG
RNAcentral lists this ribosomal RNA (253 nucleotides) under uncultured bacterium. RNAcentral's name for it is "partial 16S ribosomal RNA". It matches the Rfam family "Bacterial small subunit ribosomal RNA", at positions 524 to 776 of the family's 1533-position model. The record is from RNAcentral.